CGUUUGAGACUCCAAUUGAUUCUUGGAUAGCAUCGGCUUUGGAUCGCCAUGCCGGUGUGAGGAUUCUAAGAACUUUUCGAACAAGUUCUCUAUCCGUGAAUGUCUUCUUGAGGACGUGUAGAUCAUUUACUAUUGUUGAGAAGCGCUCAAACAUCUCAUCUACUUUUUCUCCUUCCUUCAUAUGAAACAAUUCGUAAGCAUGAGUAAGAAAAUCAACUUUUGCUUCUCUNNNN
Molecule: long non-coding RNA, 233 nt
Filed under: Nicotiana benthamiana
Lineage: Eukaryota; Viridiplantae; Streptophyta; Magnoliopsida; Solanales; Solanaceae
Description: long non-coding RNA (NBEN_LNC019779)
Source: RNAcentral